Molecule: ribosomal RNA, 432 nt
Filed under: uncultured bacterium
Lineage: Bacteria
Description: partial 16S ribosomal RNA
Rfam family: Bacterial small subunit ribosomal RNA
Source: RNAcentral
ACGAACGCUGGCGGCAUGCCUCACACAUGCAAGUCGAACGAGACCUUCGGGUCUAGUGGCGCCCGGGUGCGUAACGCGUGGGAACCUGCCCUUAGGUUCGGAAUAACUCCCCGAAAGGGGUGCUAAUACCGGAUAAUGUCUUCGGACCAAAGAUUUAUCGCCUUUGGAUGGGCCCGCGUUGGAUUAGCUAGUUGGUAGGGUAAAAGCCUACCAAGGCGACGAUCCAUAGCUGGUCUGAGAGGAUGAUCAGCCACACUGGGACUGAGACACGGCCCAGACUCCUACGGGAGGCAGCAGUGGGGAAUAUUGGACAAUGGGCGAAAGCCUGAUCCAGCAAUGCCGCGUGAGUGAUGAAGGCCUUAGGGUUGUAAAGCUCUUUUACCCGGGAUGAUAAUGACAGUACCGGGAGAAUAAGCGCCGGCUAACUCCGUG